CGAUCAAAAAAAAAAAAAAAAAAAAAACCUCUCAAUCUCUUCUCCUCUUUUCCCUCAUCCUCAUCGAAUUCGUGACCGGACAUCCUCUGGACGGAAAAUAGAGGCGAUGAUCGCAAAGCAUUUGGGGACCUAGUGUAAAAUUCUGAAGUUUAGUAAAACAUGAGCAGCCGAGCUAGUAGAACAAUUUAUGUUGGCAACCUUCCAGGUGAUAUUCGUGAGAGGGAGGUGGAAGAUUUGUUUUACAAGUAUGGACCCAUUGUGGAUAUUGAUUUGAAGAUCCCUCCGAGGCCUCCUGGUUAUGCCUUUGUUGAGUUUGAAGAUCCACGUGAUGCUGACAAUGCUAUUCGUGGUCGUGAUGGUUAUAAAUUUGACGGUUACAGACUACGGGUGGAACUUGCACAUGGUGGAAGAAGCUACUCCUCAUCUUCUGACUACUAUAGUAGGUAUAGUAGCGGUAGCAGCCGUGGUGGUGUCUCUAGGCGCUCAGAGUAUCGUGUUCUGGUAACCGGCUUACCAUCAUCUGCUUCGUGGCAAGACCUGAAGGAUCACAUGCGACGAGCUGGUGAUGUUUGUUUUUCUGAAGUCUUCCGAGAUGGGCGGGGCACUUCGGGCGUUGUGGACUACACAAACUAUGAUGAUAUGAAGUAUGCGAUUAGGAAACUAGAUGACUCUGAAUUCAGGAAUGCAUUUUCUCGAGCAUACAUAAGGGUUAGGGAAUACCGACGAAGCCCAUCUAGGAGCCCUAGCCCUAGCCCUUCUUACUCGAGAAGUAGGAGCCCUAGCUACAGUAGCGGUUACAGCAGAAGCAGGAGCAGGAGUGAAAGGAGUGAAAGGUCUCGGUCACGAUCGGUUUCAUCUCGCUCUCGUUGAGGACAUCAGAGUGGGAUGCAUUUAUUCUGGAAAAUCGAAAUCAUGAAUGUGAGGAUUGGGGUAAAAUCAAGCUUGUUUAGAUCCUGUUCAAGAUCCAGAUCUUCCAAACGUUCGGCGAGUUCGAGUUCCCAGCUCUAGUAAGUUAGCUCUAGUAGUUGCUCCCUAUAGGAAAAACACAUUUUAUUGUGGUUGAUUUUGAGGCUGUUGUAAAUUUUUGUAUCAUUUAUGUUAUUCAGCGGGACUUACCAUGUGUAUGUGUGCGAUUAUCUUCGUAGAAACAAGCUUCGUCAUACAAAUGUUAUGUAGCUGAGUUACACAGGUUUAUUAUCAUCAGUACUUUAUAGUGUACUUGGAUUUUAUAUAUGUUUGUAGUAGUGAGCAGUGAGCAGUAACCUGGGAUGCAUUGUUGAAUUA
Ananas comosus (pineapple) is the source of this 1284-nucleotide RNA transcript. It is a transcript of the gene named serine/arginine-rich splicing factor SR30-like, with no coding region annotated. The record is from RefSeq and is a predicted model, not a curated record. The transcript has 14 exons. NCBI's taxonomy places the organism in Eukaryota, Viridiplantae, Streptophyta, Magnoliopsida, Poales, Bromeliaceae.